Molecule: ribosomal RNA, 449 nt
Filed under: uncultured bacterium
Lineage: Bacteria
Description: partial 16S ribosomal RNA
Rfam family: Bacterial small subunit ribosomal RNA
Source: RNAcentral
GUGGGGAAUUUUGGACAAUGGGCGCAAGCCUGAUCCAGCAAUGCCGCGUGCAGGAAGAAGGCCUUCGGGUUGUAAACUGCUUUUGUACGGAACGAAAAGGCUCUGGUUAAUACCUGGGGCUCAUGACGGUACCGUAAGAAUAAGCACCGGCUAACUACGUGUCAGCAGCCGCGGUAAUACGUAGGGUGCAAGCGUUAAUCGGAAUUACUGGGCGUAAAGCGUGCGCAGGCGGUUUUGUAAGACAGAGGUGAAAUCCCCGGGCUCAACCUGGGAAUUGCCUUGGUGACUGCAAGGCUGGAGUGCGGCAGAGGGGGAUGGAAUUCCGCGUGUAGCAGUGAAAUGCGUAGAUAUGCGGAGGAACACCGAUGGCGAAGGCAAUCCCCUGGGCCUGCACUGACGCUCAUGCACGAAAGCGUGGGGAGCAAACAGGAUUAGAUACCCGAGUAGUC